CGGAGCGUCGUUUGCGACGCCCAACACACAAAACAAGCGGUGAGUGCUUUGGGGUGGGGUGACUGCGUACCUUUUGUAUAAUGGGUCAGCGACUUAUAUUCUGUAGCAAGGUUAACCGUAUAGGGGAGCCGAAGGGAAACCGAGUCUUAACUGGGCGUUAAGUUGCAGGGUAUAGACCCGAAACCCGGUGAUCUAGCCAUGGGCAGGUUGAAGGUUGGGUAACACUAACUGGAGGACCGAACCGACUAAUGUUGAAAAAUUAGCGGAUGACUUGUGGCUGGGGGUGAAAGGCCAAUCAAACCGGGAGAUAGCUGGUUCUCCCCGAAAGCUAUUUAGGUAGCGCCUCGUGAACUCAUCUUCGGGGGUAGAGCACUGUUUCGGCUAGGGGGUCAUCCCGACUUACCAACCCGAUGCAAACUGCGAAUACCGAAGAAUGUUAUCACGGGAGACACACGGCGGGUGCUAACGUCCGUCGUGAAGAGGGAAACAACCCAGACCGCCAGCUAAGGUCCCAAAGUCACAGUUAAGUGGGAAACGAUGUGGGAAGGCUCAGACAGCCAGGAUGUUGGCUUAGAAGCAGCCAUCAUUUAAAGAAAGCGUAAUAGCUCACUGGUCGAGUCGGCCUGCGCGGAAGAUGUAACGGGGCUAAACUGUGCACCGAAGCUGCGGCAGCGACGCUUAUGCGUUGUUGGGUAGGGGAGCGUUCUGUAAGCCUGCGAAGGUGUCCUGUGAGGGAUGCUGGAGGUAUCAGAAGUGCGAAUGCUGACAUAAGUAACGAUAA
RNAcentral lists this ribosomal RNA (781 nucleotides) under Salmonella enterica subsp. enterica serovar Kentucky. Its description in RNAcentral is "partial 23S ribosomal RNA". It matches the Rfam family "Bacterial large subunit ribosomal RNA", at positions 566 to 1315 of the family's 2925-position model. The record is from RNAcentral. Lineage: Bacteria; Pseudomonadati; Pseudomonadota; Gammaproteobacteria; Enterobacterales; Enterobacteriaceae.